Molecule: ribosomal RNA, 403 nt
Filed under: uncultured bacterium
Lineage: Bacteria
Description: partial 16S ribosomal RNA
Rfam family: Bacterial small subunit ribosomal RNA
Source: RNAcentral
AUUGAACGCUGGCGGCAGGCCUAACACAUGCAAGUCGAGCGAGCGGCGGACGGGUGAGUAAUGUCUGGGGACUGCCCGAUAGAGGGGGAUAACUACUGGAAAGGGUGGCUAAUACCGCAUACUAUCGGAUAACCCAUAUGGGUCUAGCUCGUAGGGGGGGUAAAGGAUCACCUAGGCGACGAUCUCUAGAUGGUCUGAGAGGAUGAUACUCGACACUGGGACUGAGACCCGGCCCAGAUUCCUACGGAGGCAGCAGUGGUGAAUAUUGCACAAGUGGCGCAAGCCUGAUGUGGCCAUGCCGCGUGUAUGAAGAAGGCCUUAGGGUUGUAAAGUACUUUCAUCGGGGAGGCGUUACCCGCAGAAUAAGCACCGGCUAACUCCGUGCCAGCAGCCGCGGUAAUAC